RNAcentral lists this ribosomal RNA (274 nucleotides) under uncultured bacterium. RNAcentral's name for it is "partial 16S ribosomal RNA". It matches the Rfam family "Bacterial small subunit ribosomal RNA", at positions 523 to 796 of the family's 1533-position model. The record is from RNAcentral.
AUACGGAGGGUGCAAGCGUUAUCCGGAAUCAUUGGGUUUAAAGGGUCCGUAGGCGGACUAAUAAGUCAGGAGUGAAAUCCCACAGCUUAACUGUGGAACUGCCUUUGAUACUGUUAGUCUUGAGUUAUAUGGAAGUAGAUAGAAUGUGUAGUGUAGCGGUGAAAUGCUUAGAGAUUACACAGAAUACCGAUUGCGAAGGCAGUCUACUACAUAUAUACUGACGCUAAUGGACGAAAGCGUGGGGAGCGAACAGGAUUAGAAACCCUAGUAGUCC